UUUUUCUCUCAUUUAAGUGUUUGCUGCAAAGUCUUGUGUAUUUGUAGUUGUGAUUCUUGAAUUCUUUUUGUCUGGUUGCUUGCAGAAAAUUUUUUUUGGAGCUUGAAGCUAUAUUUUGGUCCUGAUAGUUCUGUAUGUUUUCAUUUUGGGUUGUUUAAAAAACAAAGUUCUUGGAGUAUUCUAUUUUCAAUUUAUCCAGUAAACAUAGUAUAGUGAAAUAAAAUAUAAGAUAAAUAAGAGACAAAUAAUUGUUUGCUCAGUGUGGCUGUAGGGCUAUUUGCCAACCUGCUGAUAACUUAAAGUUUUGCUUUCUUCCUGGAGAGUGAUUUUCAUAGUCAAAAUUAUAAUACUUAAAGAAAAUUAGAACCCUUCGCAUUUUUGUGAAAUAUAAUGCAAGGAAAUAAGACCUUAAUGAUACAGAUGGUAACUUAAAUGCUGCUUCCAAUGCUUUUCCAAAUAAAAAGUAGAUAUAGGAAUUUAAUAGCUGAUUAAGACAAUGCUUGUUAUCUUAUAAUAAGAUUUGUAUUCCUAGACAUGCUUCUCUGUCAUAAAAUGAGUAUAAGGCUUCUGUAUGAUUAUCAAGUGUGAUUACCUAGAUUCUUGCCAAUCACAGUAUUUUUUUUAGGAAGUGACUGAACAUGUUCUGCUAGAGAGAAAAAUGCAAUGUAUCCCAAAUUAGGGAGAAGCUCCAAAGUAGGUACAAAGUAGGAAGAAGAAAGAAGUAGAGUUUACCUUGAAGUUCUCUAGUAAUAAUAUAUAAGCAAGAAAUAAGCAAUAAAACUCACAUAAUCAAAUGUUUAUGUACAAAUUUAUAAUAAUCAUUAUAAAUUAGUAAUAUUUAUAAUAGGGAUAGAUAAUUUUUUCCACAAGUAUUGCCUUUUCUGGGUGAUAUGAUAACAGUAAUAAUAAAUAACAUUUGUAUAGCACCUACCAUUGUGACUGGGACUAGUAAGUGGCUUAAAAUGAUUAUUUUAUCAUUUGAUGCUCACAAUAACCCCAGAAGAUAGGGGUUAUUAUACCCAUUUUAAAUAUAAUGAAACUAAGGCAAAAAGAGCUUGAGUGAUUUGCCAAAGUCAUAGAUAAUAUGUAUCUGAGGCUGGGUUUCAACUCCUGUCUUCUUAGCUCUGAUCCCUGUACUCUAUUCACAGUGCCAGUUAGUAGCCUGGAUGACUAAAAUAUUGCUCCAGAAGAUUAUCCCUUAUUUGAAAAAAAAAACAUUAAGUUAAAAGAAGUAUAAUGAUGGAAUGAUAGCACUGUAUAAAAUAAAUUAAUUAAAUUCAACUAAACCUGCAUUAUGUUGGGCACUGUACAUGGCACUGGGGAUACAAAGAGGAAAAUAAUAGAAAUCUUUCUUUUCAUGGAACUUAUUGGAAGAUAACUAGUGUAAAAAGGAAUUCUUUAUUACUUUUUUAAUUUAAUGGGGGACCUGGGGGUCCUCUUACCAUAGAGAUGUGUAGGGAUUAACUAGCCCACAAUGACAGGAAAUAGGAACUGGGGAGCCCCCUGCUGAACCAGAGUCAAUUUCAGGCUUUCAGUUGCUGACAGUUAGGAGAGUCAGUUGCUGUGGUGAGUCAGUGACUGACAGUUAAGGCUGGCAGUUGGGAGGAAGUUGGCUGCUGGGCAUGAGUAGGUCAUUGGGGUUGGUUGCUGGUGAUGUGGUUGGCCUUCAGUUGCUGGAAUAUAAAGGUGGCCCUGAGCUUACUGAGAGAGACCUCAGACUGCUUCCUUCAGAUGAUCACAUGACUCUGGUUGUUGUUUCUGAUAUGUGAAGCUGAAAGGAAGGUCCAUGGCAAAACUGUCUACCCAUGUCCUGGAGAACACACUUUUCCAAAUAUACACCAAGCUUAAGAAAUUGAGGCAGAGGUUAAGUGACUUGGCCAGGAUCACAUGAACUCCAAACUUCUUGAUGUCAGGCCAAGUUCCAAGCUUUAUCCACUGUACCAGCAGCUGCUGACAAAAGUCAAGACAGAAGGUACUGGCAUUAAGUAUUUCCAGAAAUUUCUCUCUUGUGGAAAGUGGGACUUGAAGGAAACAAAGUCAUAUAGGAGAUAGAGAUGAAAGGGAUAAAAUUUCAGAUGUUGGUCACAGGAAUUGAAAAUCUAUGGAGUUGGGAUAUUGUCUUUUGUAAAAAGUGGGAUAAAAAACCAGUUGGACUGAAUUGUGGAACAGAUGAAGAGCAGUAAGGCAUUAAGAAGACUGUAAAGAUUGAAGGGGCCAGAUUUUGAAGAUUAGCACUAAUAUUUUAAUUUAU
Non-coding RNA from Monodelphis domestica (gray short-tailed opossum), 2251 nucleotides. The record is from RefSeq and is a predicted model, not a curated record. NCBI's taxonomy places the organism in Eukaryota, Metazoa, Chordata, Mammalia, Didelphimorphia, Didelphidae.